Non-coding RNA from Phalacrocorax carbo (great cormorant), 659 nucleotides. NCBI's taxonomy places the organism in Eukaryota, Metazoa, Chordata, Aves, Suliformes, Phalacrocoracidae. The record is from RefSeq and is a predicted model, not a curated record.
CGUUUUCAAGAAAAAAACCCACUGGAGUCAUCAAUAAUGAAGAAGUAUGGAACUUCAGCGACUCAGAGGUGUACCUUGGGAGCCCCUCACCUUUGCCAAGAUAUUCGGGUCUGAAGUUUCUCUGCGCUCCAGGAUCACCUGGCUUUGGGAUUGAGAUCACACUGCAUAGCCCCGGCUAGAUUCCAUCCUUAAACUCGAGAAACAGAGUUUCAGUGGGACUACUUAAAUGAAUAAAAGUUAAUGCCGGUGAGCACCUACUCUACCACCGCGUGUACUCUAGCUCUUGCUGAAGUGUUCAGGCAGCAGCUGAACUGGUCCGUAGCUGAUGAGGACUGUGGUGGCUCUGAGUUUCAUGCAGGUGGAUGACCCCUUGUCUCCUGACCUCCUUUGGUGGAGCACAGCCAAAGUGAUGCCCAUAGAAGAGGUGAGGUUAGGAAGGUGGGUAGACCCAACAGUGGAUGGAAGAACAAGGACACAACUGGGGCAAGGCUUUGCAAAGAGUUGGGGGCAGAACAUGGAAGGGGAAAAUAUCUGCAAAGGUGCAUAUGAACUCAUUGAACGGUUUACAUAAGCCAUUGCUCAUGGAGCUGCACAGUGUUUGGCAGAGGCAUUUACCAUUGAUAUCAGGUGAUUCAUGAGCAAUGCAUGACUUUCUGGGA